AACAGUAAAAUAAGUUAUUGGUGAAAUAAAUAGACUCAACAAAACAUUAAUUAAAACAAAGUAAUACAAAUUACCUGGAUUCUCGCCGAAUAAGUGACAAAAUACAUAACAUAAAUGGUGACUGGUCAUAACCCCAAACUUAUCUCAUUGCUUGUCCUUAAGCAAUUUAUGUCACCCAUUAAAAUAGUUGAAGAAUCAACUUUUACCAAAAUAC
This 214-nucleotide long non-coding RNA is filed under the name Lathyrus oleraceus (garden pea). RNAcentral's name for it is "Pisum sativum (pea) long non-coding RNA (PSAT_LNC015700)". The record is from RNAcentral. Lineage: Eukaryota; Viridiplantae; Streptophyta; Magnoliopsida; Fabales; Fabaceae.